GACGAACGCUGGCGGCGUGCCUAAUACAUGCAAGUCGAACGCACUCUCGUUUAGAUUGAAAGGAGUUUGCUCCUGAUUGAUAAACAUUUGAGUGAGUGGCGGACGGGUGAGUAACACGUGGGUAACCUGCCCUAAAAGUGGGGGAUAACAUUUGGAAACAGAUGCUAAUACCGCAUAAAACCUAACACCGCAUGGUGUAAGGGGUUGAAAGAUGGUUUCGGCUAUCACUUUAGGAUGGACCCCGCGGUGCAUUAGUUAGUUGGUGAGGUUAAAAGGCUCACCAAGACCGUGAUGCAUAGCCGACCUGAGAGGGUAAUCGGCCACACUGGGACUGAGACACGGCCCAGACUCCUACGGGAGCAGCAGUAGGGAAUC
RNAcentral lists this ribosomal RNA (375 nucleotides) under uncultured bacterium. RNAcentral's name for it is "bacterial SSU rRNA". It matches the Rfam family "Bacterial small subunit ribosomal RNA", at positions 28 to 363 of the family's 1533-position model. The record is from RNAcentral.